RNAcentral lists this ribosomal RNA (548 nucleotides) under uncultured organism. RNAcentral's name for it is "bacterial SSU rRNA". It matches the Rfam family "Bacterial small subunit ribosomal RNA", at positions 38 to 573 of the family's 1533-position model. The record is from RNAcentral.
AGCUACAGGCUUAACACAUGCAAGUCGAGGGGAAACGACAUCGAAAGCUUGCUUUUGAUGGGCGUCGACCGGCGCACGGGUGAGUAACGCGUAUCCAACCUGCCCACCACUUGGGGAUAACCUCGCGAAAGUAAGACUAAUACCCAAUGAUAUCUCUAGAAGACAUCUGAAAGAGAUUAAAGAUUUAUCGGUGAUGGAUGGGGAUGCGUCUGAUUAGCUUGUUGGCGGGGUAACGGCCCACCAAGGCUACGAUCAGUAGGGGUUCUGAGAGGAAGGUCCCCCACAUUGGAACUGAGACACGGUCCAAACUCCUACGGGAGGCAGCAGUGAGGAAUAUUGGUCAAUGGACGAGAGUCUGAACCAGCCAAGUAGCGUGCAGGAUGACGGCCCUAUGGGUUGUAAACUGCUUUUAUAAGGGAAUAAAGUGAGUCUCGUGAGGCUUUUUGCAUGUACCUUAUGAAUAAGGACCGGCUAAUUCCGUGCCAGCAGCCGCGGUAAUACGGAAGGUCCGGGCGUUAUCCGGAUUUAUUGGGUUUAAAGGGAGCGUA